AACGCACGAGACCUGCGGACCUGCGGAAGGAUCAUUACCGAGUUUACAACUCCCAAACCCAAUGUGAACCAUACCAAACUGUUGCCUCGGCGGGGUCACGCCCCGGGUGCGUCGCAGCCCCGGAACCAGGCGCCCGCCGGAGGGACCAACCAAACUCUUUCUGUAGUCCCCUCGCGGACGUUAUUUCUUACAGCUCUGAGCAAAAAUUCAAAAUGAAUCAAAACUUUCAGCAAUGGAUCU
RNAcentral lists this unclassified non-coding RNA (240 nucleotides) under soil metagenome. Its description in RNAcentral is "partial contains 5.8S ribosomal RNA, internal transcribed spacer 2, and large subunit ribosomal RNA". The record is from RNAcentral.